RNAcentral lists this ribosomal RNA (253 nucleotides) under uncultured bacterium. Its description in RNAcentral is "partial 16S ribosomal RNA". It matches the Rfam family "Bacterial small subunit ribosomal RNA", at positions 524 to 776 of the family's 1533-position model. The record is from RNAcentral.
UACGGGGGGGGCAAGCGUUGUUCGGAAUUACUGGGCGUAAAGGGUUCGUAGGUGGCCAACUCAGUCAGACGUGAAAUCCCUCAGCUCAACUGGGGAACUGCGUCUGAUACUAGAUGGCUCGAGUGCAGGAGAGGAACGCGGAAUUCCAGGUGUAGCGGUGAAAUGCGUAGAUAUCUGGAGGAACACCGGUGGCGAAGGCGGCGUUCUGGACUGCAACUGACACUGAGGAACGAAAGCCAGGGGAGCAAACAGG